Artomyces pyxidatus is the source of this 108-nucleotide non-coding RNA. The record is from the annotation of a GenBank genome assembly. Lineage: Eukaryota; Fungi; Basidiomycota; Agaricomycetes; Russulales; Auriscalpiaceae.
GUCGCUUUGCCGGAGUGGUUAACGGGAUCGCCUGCUAUUGCGCGAGACUUCUUACGCAAGCAAAGCGGUUGGGCUUUGCCCGCCUGUGUUCGAAUCGCAGAGGCGACG